GGAAGUAGACACCGAUGUACCAACAGAGGUGCCCUGCCUUGCCUUUAAAUAUCUUACUGAAAUAUUGAAUUUCGUCUUUUACAGUGGCAAAAUCUAACUGCGACAAUGACGAAAUUGGACAUGUUGAAUUUGUAUCUCAAUGAACGUUUAAAGGUGGCUGCAGAUGAGAUAUUUCAGGUUAUCAAGGACACGAUACUAGAAUAUCAGAACGAAAUCGCCCUUACGAAAGAGGAAAACCGUGACUUAAAACAAAGACUGUCCGAUGUCGGUACUAUCUCCGCUGGCAUACAACGAGUGCUUUCUGCAGAGAGACAACAUCUUGAGCUUGAGCCUCCGUCUGCCUGUGAAUACGAGGACAGUACCGGACCCGUCCCGGACCCACCAGAAUCCCCGGAAGUAAUAGAAGUGAAAUAUGAAGAAAGCUUUCCCAUCCCGGUCACACCUGGAGGAGAAGAGCCACAGGAGAUACCAGUCACGACACCCCCCCUCUUUAAUACUGACAAUGAGCAGCGGCUACCCAACACCUUCCCAAGUUACUCGCCACAUAUGUCAGAAGCCAGUGAGCUGGAUUCCAUCUCAGUUGGCCCGUCACACCCAAUCAAAACAGAGUCCUGUUCUGAGGAAUGCAGUAGAAUAGAAUUUAACACAGAGCAGCCACAUUCCAGCUCCAUGCGUCCUGAUUGCGCUGUGGAGGACCGUGGCGUAGGGUACCUGCCACAGAGCUGUGUCCAGGGUCCGAGCACUCUGUGUGGGAGAGACCUGGCCGAGCUUCCGUCCCAGACCUCGUCCAUGGAGGCCCACCAUGCCCGCGCCGGAACGCCGUUUUACUGCUCGCUGUGCGGUAGGUGCUUCGGCAGCGCGCGGGACAUGACCAUUCACAGGCAGUUGGCCCACGGCAAGGAGAAGCCGUACCGCUGUGGCGUGUGUGGCAAGAGCUUCCGGUACUCGGGCAAGUUCAAGGAGCACCAGCGGAUCCACACGGGCGAGAGGCCGUACCGCUGCCACGUGUGCUUCAAGGGCUUCAACCAGACGGCACACCUGAAGGUACACCUGCGCAUCCACACCGGGGAGAAGCCCUACAGCUGCCCGCUGUGUGGCAAACGCUUCAGCCAGUCCAGCCAGAUCAAGGGGCACCUCAGGACACACAGCCGCCACAACACAUUCACGUGAGACGUGAGCCAACACACAGUCACCAAAACACACUCAUGUUAGCUCAGCUACACGCUAUCUAGCCUCCUGCGAGAGAGGGCCAGGUGAUUGCUAGCCUACUGCCAGAGACGCCAGGUGAUUGCUAGCCUACUGCCAGAGACGCCAGGUGAUUGCUAAAGACGGCCAGGUGAUUGCUAGCCUACUGCCAGAGACGCCAGGUGAUUGCUAGCCUACAGCCAGAGACGCCAGGUGAUUGCUAGAGACGGCCAGGUGAUUGCUAGAGACGGCCAGGUGACUGCUAGCCUACUGCCAGAGAGGGCCAGGUGAUUGCUAGCCUACUGCCAGAGACGCCAGGUGACUGCUAGAGACGGCCAGGUGAUUGCUAGAGACGGCCAGGUGACUGCUAGAGACGGCCAGGUGACUGCUAGAGACGGCCAGGUGAUUGCUAGAGACGGACAGGUGAUUGCUAGAGACGGCCAGGUGAUUGCUACAGACGGACAGUUGAUUGCUAGCCUACUGCCAGGGACGGACAGGUGACUGCUAGCCUACUGCUAGAGACUGCUAGCCUACGGCUAGAGACGGCCAGGUGACUGCUAGAGACGGCCAGGUGACUGCUAGCCCACUGCUAGAGACGGCCUGUGCCCUCCUGGUCUCUCAGGGUCAGGUGGUCAUCUCCAGCUGCAUGGCUCAGUGCUUGAAAAUAAGUCAGCCUUUGCACAAUUCAUUGGUGUCAGAUAAAUCAUCGGCUGAUGGUGGCCAAAGGAUAAUCAGAUAAAUCAUGGGCUGAUGAUGGCCAAAGGAUAAUCAGUGUCUUAUUGCAGCAGGCACAUUCAUAGGGCUGAAUCUUGUGUUUGUUA
Molecule: RNA transcript, 2006 nt
Organism: Clupea harengus (Atlantic herring)
Lineage: Eukaryota; Metazoa; Chordata; Actinopteri; Clupeiformes; Clupeidae
Source: RefSeq, a predicted model, not a curated record